Molecule: non-coding RNA, 851 nt
Organism: Hydra vulgaris (swiftwater hydra)
Lineage: Eukaryota; Metazoa; Cnidaria; Hydrozoa; Anthoathecata; Hydridae
Source: RefSeq, a predicted model, not a curated record
UUGAUAAAUGCAAUUAUUAUUUCUCAAUUAUUAUUUCUCAGUAGGAGAAAUAAAAAUUAAUUUUAUAUAAACUUAUAUACAUUGAAAUAUAUACCAUUAUACUAUAUGUAUUCUAAAUGGUCUAUGAGAAGGUUAAAAGAAAGUGAAAUUAAACGUAUUUAUGCAAAGAAAACAAAGUUAUUUGCGCAGCUCAAACAUUCACUGAAGGUGCUCAAAUACAGCAGGUGACUUUGGUUAUGUUCUUAAAUUCAACUAAUGGCUUGAACGCAGCAUGAGGGGGAGGGGGUAAUGAAAGUUCAACAUUUAUUAAGUUUUAACACUGGGAUAAUGUUUCUUUUUUUGGUUCUCAAAUUACAUUAUAUUUGCUCACUAAUCGAUUUUAUGUUAUUGUUUGUUUUAUAUAUAUUAAUAUAUUUAAUUCAGACUAAUACCGAUUUUCUUUUUCUUUUUUGAUUGGAACAAGUGUCUUAUGCGAUUAUUUGCUUCGUCAAUUACGACUAGUACUGCGGUCGAUGAGUUUGUAAUUGAGUUUAAGCUACAAAAUUAUGUAAGUUAUUGGAGGAAAUAGAAUUAAACGAAGUUCUUGUAAAAAAUCUCUUUUUAUAAAAAGUGUUUUUGUACUAUUAAGUUACAGUUCUAACAAACUUGAUCGCACGUUCGUUUUGCGUUACAUUUAUUUAUUUAACUUUGAUUUAGGACCAAAUAAAAGUUCAACGAAGCUUUAUUUAUUAUUAUAUCAGAAUUUUUUUUAAUUAUUGAAAUGUAUAUUGGUGACAUCCAGCUGAGCUAUUUUGAUAUAUUACAACUGACAUAUUACGGUCUAAUUUUAUUUGAAUUAAAAUUGAGACUGA